UACGGAGGGUGCAAGCGUUAUCCGGUUUCACUGGGUUUAAAGGGUGCGUAGGUGGGCAGGUAAGUCCGUGGUGAAAUCUCCAAGCUUAACUUGGAAACUGCCGUGGAUACUAUUUGUCUUGAAUAUAGUGGAGGUGAGCGGAAUAUGUCAUGUAGCGGUGAAAUGCUUAGAUAUGACAUAGAACACCCAUUGCGAAGGCAGCUCGCUACACUAUUAUUGACGCUGAGGCACGAAAGCGUGGGGAUCAAACAGG
RNAcentral lists this ribosomal RNA (253 nucleotides) under uncultured bacterium. RNAcentral's name for it is "partial 16S ribosomal RNA". It matches the Rfam family "Bacterial small subunit ribosomal RNA", at positions 524 to 776 of the family's 1533-position model. The record is from RNAcentral.